Molecule: ribosomal RNA, 588 nt
Filed under: Streptococcus iniae
Lineage: Bacteria; Bacillati; Bacillota; Bacilli; Lactobacillales; Streptococcaceae
Description: bacterial SSU rRNA
Rfam family: Bacterial small subunit ribosomal RNA
Source: RNAcentral
CGAAGCAACGCGAAGAACCUUACCAGGUCUUGACAUCCCUCUGACCGUCCUAGAGAUAGGAUUUUCCUUCGGGACAGAGGAGACAGGUGGUGCAUGGUUGUCGUCAGCUCGUGUCGUGAGAUGUUGGGUUAAGUCCCGCAACGAGCGCAACCCCUAUUGUUAGUUGCCAUCAUUAAGUUGGGCACUCUAGCGAGACUGCCGGUAAUAAACCGGAGGAAGGUGGGGAUGACGUCAAAUCAUCAUGCCCCUUAUGACCUGGGCUACACACGUGCUACAAUGGUUGGUACAACGAGUCGCAAGCCGGUGACGGCAAGCUAAUCUCUUAAAGCCAAUCUCAGUUCGGAUUGUAGGCUGCAACUCGCCUACAUGAAGUCGGAAUCGCUAGUAAUCGCGGAUCAGCACGCCGCGGUGAAUACGUUCCCGGGCCUUGUACACACCGCCCGUCACACCACGAGAGUUUGUAACACCCGAAGUCGGUGAGGUAACCUUUUAGGAGCCAGCCGCCUAAGGUGGGAUAGAUGAUUGGGGUGAAGUCGUAACAAGGUAGCCGUAUCGGAAGGUGCGGCUGGAUCACCUCCUUUCUAAGGA